Molecule: small RNA, 28 nt
Filed under: Bombyx mori (domestic silkworm)
Lineage: Eukaryota; Metazoa; Arthropoda; Insecta; Lepidoptera; Bombycidae
Description: ovarian small RNA-12361
Source: RNAcentral
AUACGGUACGCCGCGAAAGUCCGCCUUC